GUGCUCACUUCUGCAGCACAUAUAGUAUAAUUGAAAUAAUACAGAGAAGAUCAUCAUGGCCCUUGUACAACAAAUAUAUUAAUAAAUUAAUUAUUAAGUAUAUUCUG
Small nuclear RNA from Sorex fumeus (smoky shrew), 107 nucleotides. Lineage: Eukaryota; Metazoa; Chordata; Mammalia; Eulipotyphla; Soricidae. The record is from RefSeq and is a predicted model, not a curated record.